GACGAACGCUGGCGGCGUGCUUAACACAUGCAAGUCGAACGCUGAAGCUCAGCUUUUGUUGGGUGGAUGAGUGGCGAACGGGUGAGUAACACGUGAGUAACCUGCCUCCUUCUUUGGGAUAACGCCCGGAAACGGGUGCUAAUACUGGAUAUUCACUGGUCUUCGCAUGGGGGUUGGUGGAAAGGGUUUUUCUGGUGGGGGAUGGGCUCGCGGCCUAUCAGCUUGUUGGUGGGGUGAUGGCCUACCAAGGCUUUGACGGGUAGCCGGCCUGAGAGGGUGACCGGUCACAUUGGGACUGAGAUACGGCCCAGACUCCUACGGGAGGCAGCAGUGGGGAAUAUUGCACAAUGGGCGCAAGUCUGAUGCAGCGACGCCGCGUGAGGGAUGGAGGCCUUCGGGUUGUGAACCUCUUUCGCUCAUGGUCAAGCCGCAACAAUGGUUGUGGUGAGGGUAGUGGGUAAAGAAGCGCCGGCUAACUACGUG
Molecule: ribosomal RNA, 483 nt
Filed under: uncultured bacterium
Lineage: Bacteria
Description: partial 16S ribosomal RNA
Rfam family: Bacterial small subunit ribosomal RNA
Source: RNAcentral